UGGGCAUUAGCAAAAGAUUUUGAAAUUGUUAACUCAGAACCUUUAUCCAUUGCAUGUGACAAAUAUAUAGGUGCAUCAAGUUUAAUAGAACACAAAGAAUUAUUAGGCGGAACCAUAGGAAACACUUCUUCAUGUUUAAUUAAUUCAAUGCAACAUAAAUCAAAUUUAAUCAUUGCGUCACAAGUCUGUUCCAAGACAGCAGGUAACUCAUCACAUAAAUCAUUAUCAUUUGAAUCAAUGGGUGCGCUCAAAUCAGCAUGUAAAUCAACAAUUUCACAUGGUGCAGAAAAUUCAACGGGUAUCUCAUUUAUUUCAUCACAUGUCAUAUUUUGUUCAGCAACACAAUCAUCUUUAUCAUUACCUUGUAGGCUCAACACGUUUCUUGUACACCUUCUCUCCAAUUUCCUCUCCGCUUCAAGAGCAAGAUUAAGCAAACACAAUAGAGAGUCGUACUUUCCGUAUUCAAUUAUGUAAGAAAUAUCAAAGUUAAGCCCACAAUAAAACCUAUCCAUUUUUCUUUGUUCGGUUUCAUCUAAACCAGAUCGCAAGGUUAAAAUUUGGAACUCAUGGUAGUAAUCAUCAACAGUUUUAUCAUCUUGUGUCAAACGUCGUAAUUUGGAACGCAACUCAUAAGCAUAACUUGGAGGAACAUAUUUUUCUCUCAUGAUUUUCUUCAUAUCAAUCCAAGUGUGAGGUAUUUUGUUUUCUCUAACUAUCUCACACCACCAUGAUAAUGCAUCAAAACAAAAUUUACUACUAGCAAUUUGGACCUUACGACUAUCUAGUACAUGGAAGCAUGUGAAUUGUUCAGUUAAAGCUAGCUCCCAAUCUAUAUACGUUUCAGCAUCAUUUUCCCCCUCAAAGAAAGGUACACACAAUUUAAUUGUAUUAGAAGGAUUGUUUUGUACCGUUGCCGUGGCAUUAUGAACAAGAGACGUGGAGGAUGGUCGUGGUGAAAAGCACUCAUCGCGGUCACGGGAUAGCAUCGGUCUAGUUGCCAUGCUUCGUGUAAGUCCUGUCAUGGUUAGUAGAAAACAAGAAACAAAUCACAGUAAUAUGUUCCUAUGAACUACUAGGAUGUGGCUACAAGUCGCUCAACUCUCAAGCUAAAAAUCAAGUUCUUACAAGUUCUUACCAUGCAAAACAGGAAGGUGAUGGCCAGCGGCGUGACCAAGCCCUCCGAAUAUUAAAUGUAUCGAUGCCUCGGUAACAAACCAACCUAGGUGUAGAAUCUGUGGAGCUUGGAGGCUUUUGUGAGUAGCAAAGAAUAGCAAAUAAUCAAAUCAGCAAUGCAAAGUUGAAAAUAUGCUCAAUAAUGCUAGUCCUAGCUGCUGGAGUCGAUAAGAACGAAUUACAGAAAUAAUCUAAGCCUAGAUACUGAAGAAGGUAGGAUAGAAAGAUGGCACAAGAAGUAAAUCCCUGGGAUUUUUUUUCUUUUUUUUUUUUGUGGCCUUCUGUUUGGCUUCUUAUUCUUUUCUUCUUCUUUUUUUUCUUUUUUUUCUUUUUUUACCCCAGAAACUCACGCAAAAGAAGGACCGGAAAACUGUACGUCGGUCUGUCGAAGAACAGCAAAGGCUGCAAUAAGAAAAAUUCAGAAAAAUAUGGAAAAAUAUGGAAAAAUGGAUAGGUUUUAUUGUGGGCUUAACUUUGAUAUUUCUUACAUGAUUGAAUAUGGAAAAUACGACUCUCUUUUGUGUUUGCUUAAUCUUGCUCAUAAAGUUGAGAGGAAAUUACAGCGAGGGUCUACUACAAAUGAGUCGAGCCCACAAGGUAAAGAUAAAGAUGAUUGUGUUCCUGAACUAAAUAUGACAUGUGACGAAAUAAAUGAGAUACAUGUUGAAUUUUCUGGACCAUGUGAAAUUGUUGAUUUACAUGCUGAUUUGAGUGCACCUACUGCUGAAAUUAAUUCUUCUAAUGAUUUGAGUGCACAUAUUAAUUUUGAUAUUGAUGAGAAUGAAUAUUGUGAGGAAAUAGCUAAUGUUUUGGGAGAAGCAUGUGAUGUAGAUAAAUUUGGUUUAGGUUGUGUCGAGUUAAUUACACAUGGAGUGAUUGAGAACGAUCCACCUAAUAAUUCUUUGUGUUUUAUUAAACUUGAUGCACCUAUAUAUUUGUCACAUGCAAUGGAUAAAGUUUCUGAGUUAACAAUUUCAAAAUCUUUUGCUAAUGCCCAUGGAUACAGUAUUCAAUUAAUUGGAGAACAUGAUGUCAACAAUAAAUUUUGGGUGCAUCAGAUUUGCAUUGCUUGUGAUAACUUUCUUGAUUUGAGAGACAACAAUAUUUGGCAUAUGCUCAAUCAUUUUGAUAUGACCUCUAAUAUUGGUGAUAGUUGUAUGACAAAUAACUUGUGGCAUGAUUGCACAUUGACGCAUAUUGUAACUCGCCAUUUGCUAAUUUUGAAUUAUUGUUCACCUCCAUUAGGAUGGUUUAAUGAUGAGAAUUACAAAUUAAAAUGUGAUACUUGCCGUUGGAAUAUGACUAUUAAUCUUUUGAACUAUUAUGAGUUUUAUUUAUGUGAAACAUCGAAUGUGCAGCAUGGGAGUGGAGUUAAAAUUGAUGACAUAUACAUAUACCAUGCACACACUUUGUCUAUUUUGUCAGUCUCUUUUCAGCACAAACGACGCCGAGGACGGCUUUCCUUUCAAGAAAGGGAGGAUGAUAUGGACAUGCUAACCAUGGAUACAACCAUUAGAACCCUAAUUGUUGGUGUAUCUAAUAACAGUUAUAAUCAGGUGAAUUCAAUUACAAAAUGUUUUCAAUAGGUUACUUGCAAAGAGGCGGAGCUACUAUCUUGUGUAAUCUUAUUAUGUAGGCAUCUUAUUGAACUUUACAAGUCCAAAGUGAAGAUGAAGUGUGAUAGCCUGCAAAGGGAGAUUCAAAGUGAAGCCUAUCAAGUCUACUUUCCAACAAAUUAAACGGCACAUGAUUCGGAGCUUGCUAGAGAAAGAUAUCACGAAUUAAAGUUGAAUCCGAUUCGGGUCCGAGCUGUCAGGAGACCCGAAUUUGUUUUAAUCACCCAGGCCGCAUCCGGAGUCCAAAUCAAGCAAACAAGUACUUGUUGGAAAGGUAAUUACAAGACCUUUCCAACGGAUCUGGCCCCAUCAAGAGAUUGGACUCGUGCUGACCGUGACGGACGAAACAAGCUGACGUAUCUGUUUUUCUGUUUCCUAAAGAGUUGUAGUUUGUUAGGAAAGUUAGAGAUAGAGUUGGAUUUCGGCCUCCUUACUCAAGGUGGACGAAAAUAUCUCUCCCUCCUCCUUUAUAUACCCCAUGAGCCCCCCUAAGGAGCCUUGGGUUUUGUUUAGUUAAAAGUUAGCCAUCGCUACUACUUCGUGUAAUCGCGUGUGUCGGUUAGACCACCUGUUUUACCGCUUUCGGAACCCCAACUUAUCGUCUCGUUGAGACAUUGGUUUGAUAUAGUAUAUUCGCAAUUUUAGAUUGCAUCCGCUAUUUAUCUUGUUCUUGCUUGUUCUUCGAUUGCUUGCAGGAACAAAGACCUUCGUGGUCAGGUUGAUCGUGCCCCCGCGUGAUCAGUAACCCUCUGGAGUUGGUGUAUCGAUUGCUAAGGCGCUGCCUGCUAGGCCGUAGUCGGAUCGUCAACGUCACCUCCUACCCAAAUCGAGAGUUAUCAAUCUCAUCGAAAGAUCGGGCCACCCCGACCCGUAUCAGCAUCGCAACGCCGGCAUGAAGGGAGGAGACCCCCGGCGGGAACUGUGUUGAUUGGAAGGUCUCGCCAGAGAUCCCCCUCACCCACGUCCUGAGGGUCUCCAAGUCCAUGCCGUCCUGCUGGAGGCGUGUUCUGUCCCCGGGACCCGUGUACAUCCACGCGGGCCGGGAGCGCAGUUGCAGCGGCGCGAUACGCCGGUGGACGAAGGUGCGCGCCCUGAUAUGGACAUGCUAACCAUGGAUACGACCUUUGGUACCCUCAAUUCUAUAAUAUUUGACAAGAUUUAUAAUCAGGUGAAUUCAAGUAGUAAUUGUUUUCAUUGUCAUACUUAUGAAGAGGCGGAGCUACUACUAUCUUGUCUCGUUUUAUUACGUAGGCAUCUUGUCGAGCUUUUCAAGUCCAAGGUCAAGAUGAGAUACGGUGGAGGCGAAUGGGAGGGCCAACAAGAAUCAAGCAUUCAUACAGCUGAGAGGGAAGGAUUUCAAGUGUACUUUCCAACAAAUCAAACGGCACAUGAUUCGGAGCUUGCUAGAGAAAGAUAUCACGAAUUAAAGUUGAAUCCGAUUCGGGUGCGACCUGCCAAGAGACCCGAAUUUGUUUUAAUCACCCAGGCCGCAUCCGGAGUCCAAAUCAAGCAAACAAGUACUUGUUGGAAAGGUAAUUACAAGACCUUUCCAACGGAUCUGGCCCCAUCAAGAGAUUCGACUCGUGCUGACCGUGACCGACAAAACAAGCUGACGGAUCUGUUUUUCUGUUUCCUAAAGAGUUGUAGUUUGUUAGGAAAGUUAGAGAUAGAGUUGGAUUUCGGACUCCUUACUCAAGGUGGACGAAAAUAUCUCUCCCUCCUCCUUUAUAUACCCCAUGAGCCCCCCUAAGGAGCCUUGGGUUUUGUUUAGUUAAAAGUUAGCCAUCGCUACUACUUCGUGUAAUCGCGUGUGUCGGUUAGACCACCUGUUUUACCGCUUUCGGAACCCCAACUUAUCGUCUCGUUGAGACAUUGGUUUGAUAUAGUAUAUUCGCAAUUUUAGAUUGCAUCCGCUAUUUAUCUUGUUCUUGCUUGUUCUUCGAUUGCUUGCAGGAACAAAGACCUUCGUGGUCAGGUUGAUCGUGCCCCCGCGUGAUCAGUAACCCUCUGGAGUUGGUGUAUCGAUUGCUAAGGCGCUGCCUGCUAGGCCGUAGUCGGAUCGUCAACGUCACCUCCUACCCAAAUCGAGAGUUACCAAUCUCAUCGAAAGAUCGGGCCACCAGCACCCGUAUCACGCCCAGUCCACAUCGGUGAGCCCCGCUAGCCGCAGCGUCUUGAUUUUCUCCAUGAUGGGGAGGAGAUCGGCGUCGCAGUGGUACUUGUCUUGCCAGCCGCUGUGGGGUUGCGGCAGCUCUGUGGGCACGAGGAUGAACUCUUGGGGGUCCUCCACUCGAAUCCAGCAGCAAUCGCCCCACCACUCGUUUUCAAUCUUCUUCCCUGACCGGACGAUGAACUGGGACUUCAUCUGGUCGCCGGCGCGGAACACCACCCCCGACGACAUCGCCUUCCCGUUGUCAAUGCGGGGGUAGAAGUAGUAGCGGAAGAGCCCCACCGACGGCAUCACCCCCACGAACGCUUCGCAGAGGAAUUGGAAGGUGGCGAGGAGGAACAUCGACGUGGGGUGGAGCUGCGCCACCCGCAGCUGGUAGGACUCCAUCAGUGCGUGGAGGAAUAGCGAGAAGGGCGGCACCAGGCCGGUGAGGAGGAAGCGUGCGAACACCCGGAAGUCAUUGUCCUGGUGCUCGGCGCCCGCCGGGAAGAUCAGCGUCUCCCCGUGCUCGUUGAAGUUGGAGGCGACGGCAUGCCGGACCUUGUCCAGCGCCUCGCCGUUGUAACCCGGGCGGUAGAAGGCGAGCGUGGCCCGCAUCUCCCGCUUCUUCUGGUCCUUGGCGGCGGCUGCCUUGGUUGCCGCCUCACUCUUUCUGGUGGUGGGGGGCGCCAUGGGGAACGAAGGCGAAAGCUAGCAGGAGCGCUGGGGUGCGAGAUGCGAAAGAGGAUGAAGACGAAGUCUUUGGGAGGCAGAGUGUCUUUCCCCUUUUGGCAACACUAAAGAGCCUUAUAACACCCGGCCGUUUGGUAACGGCCGGUUCCAUACCCUACGAGUGCGCGGGGAUAACUCUUAAUCAUUAGGAGUAAUGCGCGGAGUGACCUUAACUUCCCUGUUUAAGGGGGGGGGGGAGUAAGGGCGGAAAUCACGCGCCCACUACUCCGUCUGUAACGGCGUAGUGCCAGGCGCAACGAAGGGACGCGGGCCCGAGGCGAAUCGGGGCCAACGCGUCGAUUGAGGGCGUAGCCCGGCAACCGACCUGGGGAAGACCCAUCCGGGAACAGGUGAUGCCGGCCCACGCCCGGGGGCUACUGUCGCACCAGUGGCACCCGGGGUACCACCGCCGCACGACGCGUGGGCCCCGUCUCCGAGUUCCCGGAAGGACUUCGUCCCGGGCAGCAGCUACUAGCAGCCCGGCAAGCCACCAGCCCGGAAGGGCUAGCGGGGCUUCGGGGAUAUUCCCACCUGGGCGCCUCCCGGGAAGCCGCUUCCCGGAAGGGGGGGGGGGGUUCCCGGGUGCGUUGGACCUGGGCGCUUCCCGUGGAGCGACUUGCCGAGAGAAGGGGUUCCCGGGCGGGGGCUCCCGCCUCAAGGGUGGGGCCCAGCGAGCAGAGCAACUGCGCCACGCGGACGCGUGGCGGGCGUCGGGUGCGCGGCCUCACCAGGGAGAGGAGUGAGGCGCACGGCUCAUUAAAUGAGCCGACAGGAGGAGCGUUACCCGUCCGAUCAGGUGAACAGUGGCUGUCCAAUCCUACCCUAGGGUUUUAGACCCCUAGCAGCAGAGGUGGCGUCCAUGUGAGCCACCAGCUCACCGAGAGGGAGUUGUAUGCCUCCCCGUUCGACACUUGUAAUCCAUGCACCGUGGCAGCUAUGGUAUCCCCUUGGUUAUGAAAGGAGGACCCCCGCCGGUGGUCAAGGGGUUCUGGUUCUGUUCGAUUAAGUCCACAACUAGCCCUAGUCCAAGAAGAGCAAGUAGCGUUUCGCAAGAAAGGAGAGAGUGCCCGGGGACCUUUCCCCCGGCGAGGUGUAAACACUUGCUUCAUAAUCAAUACAAGCUCAGACAGGCAGGACGUAGGGUUUUACACCUCCGGGUGGCCCGAACCUGGGUAAAACGUGCGUGCAUGUGUCCCUAGCUUGCAUGCAUUCUGGGUGCACCUCUUUGCAGGUUACGUACGCCAUCGGCCACGCCGGCGAUCACCGGAGCAAUCCCCGACGCCCCCUGCUGAACCUGAAAAGGGGGCCUUGACCGCACGCCCCCGGUGUCGGAGCCCUGCGCGACGACACACCCGCUUCGGCGGGUACUCGAGAACCUUUGUCUUGGGACGGGAAAAGCAUAUUGCGCUUUGCAACGGACUGGGCGCCCUCGCCGGGAAGGGGCUCCCCGCACCUCGCGCCCGGGCCUACAAGUGUGGACAGCGGAACAGUGAAGACAGGACGAGACAGCGGACGGAGUGCAUUUAAUGCACCGACAUGAGUCACAUCGGCAGGGCUAGGCUUGCUCAGCAAGGCUAGAGCGGCUACCCUACAAUUCAUUUUAUUUACCAUGUACAGUGGCCUCUGUGCUGCAUGAAGCCCAGCAUGGAUCAACAGUAAUGUGAAGCUUGUGGCGAGGACACACAGGGUGGAACGUGUCACGCUGCAUGCAUGGGCACCUGUGGUAUCCCCUUGGCUAUAAAACGAGAACCAAUGCCACCGGUCAAAGGGUUCCAACUCUAUGCAAUGGAAGGUAGCUUUGUAUUCACCUAAGUAGCAAGGUUCCUUAGAGGGACAAGUAGCUAGCCCAGGGACUCCCCGGCAACCUAUACACAUCUAAACUCAUGAAUACAACUCGAAGCAAGACGUAGGGUGUUUCACCUCCGGGUGGCCCGAACCUCGGUAAAUCUCGUUUUCGACACUUCGUGUCUUUAGCCACACCGGCGAUCGCCCGAGCGAUCCCCUCGCCCUCCACCAAACCAAAAUGGGGUUGUCCAACAUCCCCGGUGCUUGAGUCCCAUGCUCCAACGGAUCCCGUCGCCCUCCACCGAACCAAAACAGGGGUUUCCAACAUCCCCGUUGCCGGAGUUCCGUACUCCAACAUCUUGCGCACUAGGUAGGGGGCAUGCAGAGAACUCCGUGUGACCGCUGGCGUCGUCGUCUUCGACGUCAUCUUCGUUAGCUCGCCAUGCCGCCCAAAAACGCAGACGAGCCCUGGGUUGACUUGCGCGAUACACUCACCAUGCGCACUCGGUCCCACGACGCCUCCAGGGCGUCUCGAGAUCACGGGGACCAAGUGUAACCCAGCAGCAACAACCCCAGCAGCAGCCGCUGCUUCCUGCUCGGGCGUUAGCGGACCACCGCCCGAGGGGACCUACGGCGCCUAGCGCCGGAGCCAGCUGCACGAGCGACGUCAACAUCGCGCCUGCCUGCCAGCGAGGUCGCUCGUGGGCUGAAGAUAAGCGAUAACUGUCGUGCCACGACCAGAGUGCGUCGCAUGCGACGCCAGUUGGUGAACGGGGGGAUGGCAGCAGGUCAGGGAACCGACAGCCUCCCGCCCAGACCCCGACAAAGGCUUUAAUUUUCGUGCGUGUCAUGGUGCGCUACGAGCCACCGCAGGCCACGCCGGCUCAUGACGCGUGGAGCGCUGAGCUGGACGCGCUCCUCGCACUUGCCGAGGCCAGAACCCGGGACGCGGGAUCCUCCUCGCACCUCGGGGCCAGGACAACGUCCUCCACCCGCUAGGGGACAAGACGGUGAGGACUCCGGGGAUUAGUCGGAUUCGUCACCGACCGUCACGCAAGGUGAUGAUAUGGACAUGCUAACCAUGGAUACGACCUUUGGUGCCCUCAAUUCUAUAAUAUUUGACAAGAUUUAUAAUCAGGUGAAUUCAAGUAGUAAUUGUUUUCAUUGUCAUAAUUAUGAAGAGGCGGAGCUACUACUAUCUUGUCUCGUUUUAUUACGUAGGCAUCUUGUCGAGCUUUUCAAGUCCAAGGUGAAGAUGAGAUACGAUGGAGGCGAACGGGAGGGCCAACAAGAAUCAAGCAUUCAUACAGCUGAGAGGGAAGGAUUUAAAGUGUACUUUGCAACAAAUCAAACGGCACAUGAUUCGGAGCUUGCUAGAGAAAGAUAUCACGAAUUAAAGUUGAAUCCGAUUCGGGUCCGAGCUGCCAGGAGACCCGAAUUUGUUUUAAUCACCCAGACCGCAUCCGGAGUCCAAAUCAAGCAAACAAGUACUUGUUGGAAAGGUAAUUACAAGACCUUUCCAACGGAUCUGGCCCCAUCAAGAGAUUCGACUCGUGCUGACCGUGGCGGACAAAACAAGCAGACGGAUCUGUUUUUCUGUUUCCUAAAGAGUUGUUGUUUGUUAGGAAAGUUAGAGAUAGAGUUGGAUUUCGGACUCCUUAUUCAAGGUGGACGAAAAUAUCUCUCCCUCCUCCUUUAUAUACCCCAUGAGCCCCCCUAAGGAGCCUUGGGUUUUGUUUAGUUAAAAGUUAGCCAUCGCUACUACUUCGUGUAAUCGCGUGUGUCGGUUAGACCACCUGUUUUACCGCUUUCGGAACCCCAACUUAUCGUCUCGUUGAGACAUUGGUUUGAUAUAGUAUAUUCGCAAUUUUAGAUUGCAUCCGCUAUUUAUCUUGUUCUUGCUUGUUCUUCGAUUGCUUGCAGGAACAAAGACCUUCGUGGUCAGGUUGAUCGUGCCCCCGCGUGAUCAAUAACCCUUUGGAGUUGGUGUAUCGAUUGCUAAGGCGCUGCCUCCUAGGCCGUAGUCGGAUCGUCAACGUCACCUCCUACCCAAAUCGAGAGUUACCAAUCUCAUCGAAAGAUCGGGCCACCCGCACCCGUAUCACGUGGUAAUAUGCUCAAUAAUGCUAGUCCUAGCUGCUGGAGUCGAUAAGAACGAAUUACAGAAAUAAUCUAAGCCUAGAUACUGAAGAAGGUAGGAAUAGAUAGAUCAAAAGAUGGCACAACAAGUAAAUCCCUGGGAUUUUUUUUUCUUUUUUUUUCUUUUUGUGGCCUUCUGUUUGGCUUCUUAUUCUUUUCUUCUUCUUUUUUUUUUUCUUUUUUUUUAACCCCAGAAACUCACGCAAAAGAGGGACCGGAAAACUGUACGUCGGUCUACUGAAGAACAGCAAAGGCUGCAGUAAGAAAAAUUCAGAAAAAUAUGGAAAAAUAUGGGUUAGAAGGGUAUCGACACAAGCUUUCCAGCAAGGGCAAGAUCACUCAAAACGGAUGUCGGACGGUGGAGAAAACUGAGAAACACCGGGCUGCAGCGAUGCCGGAAAACGGAUGCAGAAACUUGGAAGCUCCGAAAGUCCACCUUACAAACCGAAUUUGAGGGUCAAAGUGCAGGGCAAAGCCCUGGAUAUUUCCUGAUGCGCCUCGUCGUGAGCUUUCCAAAAAGUACAAGAACGUUGAAAUCCGAGUUGGUACGCAAAAGAUACGCCCGUUUUACUGAACACGGGUCAAACCCACCCGAAACUAAAAUUCUACUCGGACUCGGGUCCGAAACUGACUCGAACUCUUUCUCUUUUUUUUUUCGUUUUUUUUUUCCUUCUUUCUUUCCUUUUUUUUUCAACUUUCCAAACAACUUUAUCUCUAAACAAAAUUCGAUCUAUGAUGAAACACUUUCCAAAAGCACUCCUUAUUGGACUCGGACUCGGAUUCGCGGCUGAAAACUAUAACUUGCCGACUCGAUGUAGGACUCGACGAGGGACUCGGUGUAGGACUCGAAGAGGGACUCGGUGUAGGACUCGAUGAGGGACUCGGUGUAGGACUCCAAGAGGGACUCGGUGUAGGACUCAAAGAGGGACUCGGUGUAGGACUCCAAGAGGGACUCGGUGUAGGACUCGAAGAGGGACUCGGUGUAGGACUCGAUGAGGGACUCGGUGUAGGACUCAAAGAGGGACUCGGUGGAAGAUAUGGUGGCGGCGGAAGAUUAUGGCGGUGGUGUGGCAGGAAGUUUGGCGGCGGAAGAUUGAUGAAGGAAACCUGCGUCACACGAAGAACAAGAAAACCAAAAGCAAGUUCGAUCUAGUAGAAAAAAAUCUGAAAAACGAUCCAAUCUAAUCCAGCAACUCGACACGAUUAAUGCAGCAAAGAUUCAACAAUGCAAAUACUAAUGUGAAAAUUGCAAGGCUCAGAUUGGUUCUAGGACAAGGUAACUAAUUCUAAUUUUUGUUUGGCUUUUUCUGGACGAUAGGUAAAAACAGAUCUAAACUACGGAUAAACUGGAAAAAUCUCACCGAGCAACCUUAAGCUCUGAUACCACGUGAUACGGGUGCGGGUGGCCCGAUCUUUCGAUGAGAUUGGUAACUCUCGAUUUGGGUAGGAGGUGACGUUGACGAUCCGACUACGGCCUAGGAGGCAGCGCCUUAGCAAUCGAUACACCAACUCCAAAGGGUUAUUGAUCACGCGGGGGCACGAUCAACCUGACCACGAAGGUCUUUGUUCCUGCAAGCAAUCGAAGAACAAGCAAGAACAAGAUAAAUAGCGGAUGCAAUCUAAAAUUGCGAAUAUACUAUAUCAAACCAAUGUCUCAACGAGACGAUAAGUUGGGGUUCCGAAAGCGGUAAAACAGGUGGUCUAACCGACACACGCGAUUACACGAAGUAGUAGCGAUGGCUAACUUUUAACUAAACAAAACCCAAGGCUCCUUAGGGGGGCUCAUGGGGUAUAUAAAGGAGGAGGGAGAGAUAUUUUCGUCCACCUUGAAUAAGGAGUCCGAAAUCCAACUCUAUCUCUAACUUUCCUAACAAACAACAACUCUUUAGGAAACAGAAAAACAGAUCCGUCUGCUUGUUUUGUCCGCCACGGUCAGCACGAGUCGAAUCUCUUGAUGGGGCCAGAUCCGUUGGAAAGGUCUUGUAAUUACCUUUCCAACAAGUACUUGUUUGCUUGAUUUGGACUUCGGAUGCGGUCUGGGUGAUUAAAACAAAUUCGGGUCUCCUGGCAGCUCGGACCCGAAUCGGAUUCAACUUUAAUUCGUGAUAUCUUUCUCUAGCAAGCUCCGAAUCAUGUGCCGUUUGAUUUGUUGCAAAGUACACUUUAAAUCCUUCCCUCUCAGCUGUAUGAAUGCUUGAUUCUUGUUGGCCCUCCCGUUCGCCUCCAUCGUAUCUCAUCUUCACCUUGGACUUGAAAAGCUCGACAAGAUGCCUACGUAAUAAAACGAGACAAGAUAGUAGUAGCUCCGCCUCUUCAUAAUUAUGACAAUGAAAACAAUUACUACUUG
Molecule: long non-coding RNA, 11941 nt
Filed under: Brachypodium distachyon (stiff brome)
Lineage: Eukaryota; Viridiplantae; Streptophyta; Magnoliopsida; Poales; Poaceae
Description: long non-coding RNA (BDIS_LNC002140)
Source: RNAcentral